CAACUUUCAACAACGGAUCUCUUGGCUCUCGCAUCGAUGAAGAACGCAGCGAAAUGUGAUACGUAAUGUGAAUUGCAGAAUUCAGUGAAUCAUCGAAUCUUUGAACGCACCUUGCGCCCCUUGGCAUUCCGAGGGGCACACCCGUUUG
Molecule: ribosomal RNA, 148 nt
Filed under: Lactifluus latifolius
Lineage: Eukaryota; Fungi; Basidiomycota; Agaricomycetes; Russulales; Russulaceae
Also listed under: 1 other name
Description: 5.8S ribosomal RNA
Rfam family: 5.8S ribosomal RNA
About the family: 5.8S ribosomal RNA (5.8S rRNA) is a component of the large subunit of the eukaryotic ribosome. It is transcribed by RNA polymerase I as part of the 45S precursor that also contains 18S and 28S rRNA.
Source: RNAcentral